This 163-nucleotide non-coding RNA is filed under the name uncultured Beduini sp. RNAcentral's name for it is "Lysine riboswitch". It matches the Rfam family "Lysine riboswitch aptamer". Rfam says of the family: Riboswitches are metabolite binding domains within certain messenger RNAs that serve as precision sensors for their corresponding targets. Allosteric rearrangement of mRNA structure is mediated by ligand binding, and this results in modulation of gene expression. Lineage: Bacteria; Bacillati; Bacillota; Erysipelotrichia; Erysipelotrichales; Erysipelotrichaceae. The record is from RNAcentral.
UAGGGGUUGCAAUGCUUAAUAGUAAUCUAGUGGAGGUCGAAAGCCUAGGAAGUUAGAUGAAAGGAAACAUUGCCGAAGUGGUUACGUCAAAGUAACUGCUGGGGUUAUAUCGAAUAGGUAUAGCACUGUCUUAAUAACUGCCGUUAUUAAGGAGCACUACUUG